RNAcentral lists this long non-coding RNA (374 nucleotides) under Cricetulus griseus (Chinese hamster). Its description in RNAcentral is "lncRNA (ENSCGRG00015019497.2)". The record is from RNAcentral. Lineage: Eukaryota; Metazoa; Chordata; Mammalia; Rodentia; Cricetidae.
AGAACUUGGGACGCUCAUGGAUCCCCGCUCCGCGGCAGCCCUAGGUGGUGGCCGCGCUAGGGGACUGUUCCUCGGCUCUUUCUGCCUUCCUUUGACGGUGCGAGCCAUUCAUUAUUUUCCCUGAACUUACAGUUUUGUGUUAAGGAACCGGAAGGUGUCAGAUCAUCCAUUUUAAAUGCAACUGUUCUUUCUAACAAGUUUUUCUUUCCUGCCCAGCAAACCCAACUGUAUAAAUAACCAAUAUGAAGUCGGUGUAACUCUUCAAGUUCGUAAAUUGUGUCGAUGCUUUAACUCACAUUGGAUGCAGACAACUCCAGAUUCUUCAGCAAUUGUAGCUCCCUAAUUAAUAUUAACUCCACGGAGGAAGAUUCCCC